This is a long non-coding RNA of Pseudopipra pipra, 1534 nucleotides long. RefSeq lists it as uncharacterized. Lineage: Eukaryota; Metazoa; Chordata; Aves; Passeriformes; Pipridae. The record is from RefSeq and is a predicted model, not a curated record. The transcript has 3 exons.
GGGCAAAAAAGCUGAGGUGGAGGCUGCCACUCUGCUAAAUCUCACAUCAGAGUCAGGCAGCACAGCUGAAAUGAAGGAUUUGAGGGCAGGGAGAAAACAAAGUCAGACUUUGCUUUUGCUUCCUGGGAUUCUCCCUUUUGCUCUUUGCUGCUACCAGGCAGCUGUGCCCACACCCAGGGGUCACAGCACUGAGCCUUGUGUUGCCACCCAGUAUGAGCCAAGAUCUGUUGCAUUCAUCAGUGACUUGUGGCUUCCCACUCAUGACUGGGCCUCACAACUGAGGUUUUGGGGAAAGAAAACCCCUUGUCACGGAGAGACACCAUUUGGGGCCUCACUGGUGGCAACUGUUGUGCAGAUCCCGAAGUAAAAACUUCCUUACACGCACUUUGUUCACCUCUUCGUGGUCAAAGUAUCUCUUACAGGUCUUGAGAAGUCAAAAACUUAUUUAGAGGAGUCUUUGGAACAAGGGAAGGAAGUGGAGGAGGUGGAGGUGGAUGAAGCCUGAUCCCUGAGACCUUCCAGCCUCUGAUACAAAUCACAUUUCCAAGCCCUCUCUGUGCCUUGUGAUCUGCUCAUCCUUAGGGUUGCUAGUAAAGCAGUUCACAACCCAUCUUUUUUUAUUAAAAACAAAAAUGAAAGCCAUAAAGUUGCCAGAAUGGUUUAUCUCAAAAGGCUUUUAAGCAGAGACAUCUACUCAUCCCACUUUGAACUGGAAAAAAACAGUAAGUGUGGUUGAAAUCAAAACAAAACAUAUUGAUGGGCCCAUAUGUUGUUGAUUUCUGGGUGUUUUGUUCCCAAUUUUUAGUCACAACCAUGAGGGCUUUUUCUGUUCCUUUCUAUUAGGAAAUGUCACUGUUCUGCCAAUUGGUUUCCAUCCUAUUUCAGCAUUUUUUGCAAUUGCUCUGUCUCCCAGAACACAUCCACGGUAUCUGUCACUAGAGAGGCUGUGAAUAGGAAUAAAAAUCAACAACAAACAGCUCAGAGGGGAAGAUGAAACAAACAGCAGUGGCUGGGGGAAAGUUAAUUUGAUCUGAAGCAAAAUAUUUUUUUCCCGAUGUCCUGAUGGAUUUUUCUGUUGUUGUUGUUUUGUAAGAAAUUCCCUGCAAAAGAUGUCGACUCUGAAGAGUCCUUUGUACCAGGGCAGAAAGCAGCAACUGCACAGGGAGACAAGAGUAGAUCUCCUCUCAAAGCUCAGAGCAAAGAGAAGGUACCAGAAGGGCUGUGUUUGAAAGCAGAAGGACUUUCCAAAACCAGAAGGCAUCAGGACCUCAGAAAGAGCCAACAGAGAGGGAAAGUGGAUUCCCGGAGGAAUAAGAUCCUGCUCCACAAAGACAGCACCUAUUCCGUGUGGUUAAGGACAGCACACGUGUCAGAGAAAAACAGAGGGAAAAGGAAUGAGCCAGGAGCACCUCAUGUGCAGAUUUCCUGCUCGAGCCCCUGCUGAAGCUCCAGGAUGAAGCUGGACACUGCACACAAAAGGAUGUGACCAUGAAUUCCUACCUGGAUCAAAUUAUAUCCCGUUCGCUGAAUUAAG